AUAAUGCAGCCAUUAAAAACAAUAAAUUAGCUGGAAUGAUACAGAGAAGAUUAGCAUGGUCCAUGUGCAAGAAUGACAUGCAAAUUUGUGAAGCAUUCCACACAAAA
Small nuclear RNA from Ailuropoda melanoleuca (giant panda), 107 nucleotides. The record is from Ensembl. Lineage: Eukaryota; Metazoa; Chordata; Mammalia; Carnivora; Ursidae.